AGAACGAACGCUGGCGGCAGGCCUAAUACAUGCAAGUCGAACGCACUCUUCGGAGUGAGUGGCAGACGGGUGAGUAACGCGUGGGAACCUUCCCAAUGGUACGGAAUAACUCCGGGAAACCGGUGCUAAUACCGUAUAAGCCCCUCGGGGGAAAGAUUUAUCGCCAUUGGAUGGGCCCGCGUCGGAUUAGCUAGUUGGUAAGGUAAUGGCUUACCAAGGCUACGAUCCGUAGCUGGUCUGAGAGGAUGAUCAGCCACACUGGGACUGAGACACGGCCCAGACUCCUACGGGAGGCAGCAGUAGGGAAUCUUGGACAAUGGGCGAAAGCCUGAUCCAGCCAUGCCGCGUGAGUGAUGAAGGCCUUAGGGUUGUAAAACUCUUUCGUCAGGGACGAUAAUGACGGUACCUGAAGAAGAAGCCCCGGCUAACUUCGUGCCAGCAGCCGC
RNAcentral lists this ribosomal RNA (446 nucleotides) under uncultured bacterium. RNAcentral describes it as "SSU rRNA". It matches the Rfam family "Bacterial small subunit ribosomal RNA", at positions 26 to 518 of the family's 1533-position model. The record is from RNAcentral.